CCUACGGGAGGCAGCAGUGGGGAAUCUUGCGCAAUGGGGGCAACCCUGACGCAGCCAUGCCGCGUGAAUGAUGAAGGCCUUAGGGUUGUAAAGUUCUUUUGCCCGUGACGAUGAUGACGGUAACGGGAGAGUAAGCUCCGGCUAACUUCGUGCCAGCAGUCGCGGUAAUACGAAGGGGGCUAGCGUUGUUCGGAAUUACUGGGCGUAAAGCGCGCGCAGGCGGUUCGAUAAGUUAGGGGUGAAAUCCCUGGGCUCAACCCAGGAAUGGCCUUUAAGACUGUCGAGCUAGAGGACGAGAGAGGUGAGUGGAAUUCCCAGUGUAGAGGUGAAAUUCGUAGAUAUUGGGAAGAACACCGGUGGCGAAGGCGGCUCACUGGCUCGUUUCUGACGCUGAGGCGCGAAAGCGUGGGGAGCAAACAGGAUUAGAUACCCUGGUAGUCCACGCCCUAAACGAUGAGUGCCAGGUGUCGGGAAGCUUAGCUUCUCGGCGCCGCAGCUAACGCCUUAAGCACUCCGCCUGGGGAGUACGGCCGCAAGGUUAAAACUUAAAGGAAUUGACGG
This 561-nucleotide ribosomal RNA is filed under the name uncultured bacterium. Its description in RNAcentral is "bacterial SSU rRNA". It matches the Rfam family "Bacterial small subunit ribosomal RNA", at positions 338 to 916 of the family's 1533-position model. The record is from RNAcentral.